CUGAAAUGAAAUGAUGAAGCCAUUGCAAAUAUAA
Molecule: small RNA, 34 nt
Filed under: Bombyx mori (domestic silkworm)
Lineage: Eukaryota; Metazoa; Arthropoda; Insecta; Lepidoptera; Bombycidae
Description: ovarian small RNA-14820
Source: RNAcentral